This is a long non-coding RNA of Hippocampus comes (tiger tail seahorse), 1635 nucleotides long. RefSeq lists it as uncharacterized. The record is from RefSeq and is a predicted model, not a curated record. The transcript has 3 exons. NCBI's taxonomy places the organism in Eukaryota, Metazoa, Chordata, Actinopteri, Syngnathiformes, Syngnathidae.
UAACACACAAUGCAAACUUCUCGGUUCAGAAAACCUGACGUCAUGCGAGAUACCGCACCCAAACUCCAUAAUAAUAAAAACAGUCAGCUUGAGUGCGUCCAUUUGCCUGUUUUUGCUUUCAUGUAGGCAUCACACAAGUGAGGUCUUCCACUAAAAGUGUGAACGGGAAGUGGGUGCAAAAAGCAAAGUCCAAGUAGAGCGAUUAAAAAAAACAAAAAAACAAACGAAACAAAAACAAAAAAACAACGCUAUGGUGUUCAUUCACUGACCUCAUGCUUGUUUAUCCAAUCAAGACUGACUUUUACAGAGCAAAAAUAACCCCCCCCCCAAAAAAAUGGACAAUUACAUGCUAGAGGCUUCAUUCGUUUUCACAGGAAGCCUAUUCAUUGUCGAGCCUUGAAUUGUUAUUUGGACAGAUCAAGAAGGGGACGUUUGGGCCCAUCGGCAGCUGUUCUUCUCAAGCAUGCAGAUUUGAGUGAAGAUGAUGAUGAGAUCACGUUACAUCAUGCGCUCUUUGACAAAGGUUUAAAAAAAAAACAAAAAAACAGUAGGGCAUGAUGCAGUGAAGAGAUGAAAAUGACUCUUUUAAAACACUGAAGUCUUUGAAGUGAUCAAUGUCCGUCUUUGGACUCACCGGGAGCGGCAAAGCGUACCAGGCACUUUUCAUUCAAUGCAAACGACAGUGUUUGCUCUCUGUGACAUAUUCCGCUUUCGCGUACAGAACAAAUGUUGACAGAGCUAUUAUUUUGCGCGUUCGGAUUCAUGGGCGGAGCGCUUCGAGUGGAACAGUCGGCGAGUCCAGCGCUGUCGCCGUCUCGCGCUGUCGCACGAGCACGUCGACGACAAGCUGUGACGAGAGAAGGCAAAAAGGAAGAGUGUCGUUGGGAUGUACCGCGCCAAAUUGUGCUGAUAAGGAAAGAAACCGUAUGGACACGUUGUGGGUUUGUUGGAUGGAGAGGAGACCCGCCAAUGUACCUGUGCCUGUGCUUGGAGUUUUUCUUUGCUUCUACAUGGAUCAUUGGAGAAAAUGUUCACCAGUCUGGAAAUAUAAUAUCUUCUGGCGUCCAAUAAGAUGGAGAUGAUGCUUGUACCUGUGCCAGUGCCACACCUUUAUCAUCUGGUAAUUAAAUAUUUAUAUAUGCCAUCUUCAUCUGUUCCCUGUGAACGAGUGUUUUCUAAGGCAGGGGAACUCGUGUCCAAGGGGAGAAAUCGCCUUGUAGCAAAGACACUUACAAAAUGUUUGUUGCUCAAUGAAAAUGUAUGAAUGAAUGAAUGAACGAAUCAAUUUUUGUUGUUUUUCUUUCAGAUGAUUGAACACUUUGAGACACAAAAUCCCAUACAUACUGUAAGGAAAAUGCUUUACCUCUAAAUGUUAUUCCGGAAAUAUUUGCUAUAUUUUGCAUGCCAACUCAUUUGAGUAUUUAUACAAAUUUUGAACCCUUCUCACAAACAAAAUCAGCAAAGGAAAUUCGACAAUGAUGAAAUCAUAUUUUAAGUAAAUAACUAGCAAUUGAAUAAAGUUUAAAUAUUAUUUCACAGGCUACUUUUGAGUAUACAGCAUGUAAAUUUUUAUUUUAUUUUUUUACAUUUAGUUGACUUGCAAUGAUUUUAGAUGUACAGCAGAGGUCACUAUUG